UACUAAAAACUUUAUUCAUUUCUACUAUAAAAAAUGGCAUGAUUAAAAGAAUAACCAAACAAGUUACACGUGUACCUCAUAUUGUAUAUAGAACCAACUUUUAAGAGUAGAAAUGGAUGAAAUUUUUAACA
Non-coding RNA from Gossypium raimondii (Peruvian cotton), 131 nucleotides. The record is from Rfam. NCBI's taxonomy places the organism in Eukaryota, Viridiplantae, Streptophyta, Magnoliopsida, Malvales, Malvaceae.